Molecule: ribosomal RNA, 397 nt
Filed under: uncultured bacterium
Lineage: Bacteria
Description: partial 16S ribosomal RNA
Rfam family: Bacterial small subunit ribosomal RNA
Source: RNAcentral
AUACGUAGGGGGCGAGCGUUGUCCGGAAUGAUUGGGCGUAAAGGGCGCGUAGGCGGCCCGGUAAGUCUGGAGUGAAAGUCCUGUUUUUAAGAUGGGAAUUGCUUUGGAUACUGUCGGGCUUGAGUGCAGGAGAGGUAAGUGGAAUUCCCAGUGUAGCGGUGAAAUGCGUAGAGAUUGGGAGGAACACCAGUGGCGUAGGCGACUUACUGGACUGUAACUGACGCUGAGGCGCGAAAGUGUGGGGAGCAAACAGGAUUAGAUACCCUGGUAGUCCACACUGUAAACGAUGAAUGCUAGGUGUAGGGGGUAUCGACCCCUUCUGUGCCGCAGUCAACACAAUAAGCAUUCCGCCUGGGGAGUACGGCCGCAAGGUUGAAACUCAAAUGAAUUGACGGGG